CAGGACGAACGCUGGCGGCGUGCCUAAUACAUGCAAGUAGAACGCUGAAGAGAGGAGCUUGCUCCUUCUUGGAUGAGUUGCGAACGGGUGAGUAACGCGUAGGUAACCUGCCUUGUAGCGGGGGAUAACUAUUGGAAACGAUAGCUAAUACCGCAUAACAAUGGAUGACACAUGUCAUUUAUUUGAAAGGGGCAAUUGCUCCACUACAAGAUGGACCUGCGUUGUAUUAGCUAGUAGGUGAGGUAACGGCUCACCUAGGCGACGAUACAUAGCCGACCUGAGAGGGUGAUCGGCCACACUGGGACUGAGACACGGCCCAGACUCCUACGGGAGGCAGCAGUAGGGAAUCUUCGGCAAUGGGGGCAACCCUGACCGAGCAACGCCGCGUGAGUGAAGAAGGUUUUCGGAUCGUAAAGCUCUGUUGUAAGUCAAGAACGAGUGUGAGAGUGGAAAGUUCACACUGUGACGGUAGCUUACCAGAAAGGGACGGCUAACUACGUGCCAC
This 505-nucleotide ribosomal RNA is filed under the name Streptococcus salivarius. RNAcentral describes it as "bacterial SSU rRNA". It matches the Rfam family "Bacterial small subunit ribosomal RNA", at positions 25 to 511 of the family's 1533-position model. RNAcentral also lists the same sequence under 1 other name. The record is from RNAcentral. Lineage: Bacteria; Bacillati; Bacillota; Bacilli; Lactobacillales; Streptococcaceae.